Molecule: ribosomal RNA, 253 nt
Filed under: uncultured bacterium
Lineage: Bacteria
Description: partial 16S ribosomal RNA
Rfam family: Bacterial small subunit ribosomal RNA
Source: RNAcentral
UACGGAGGGUGCGAGCGUUACCCGGAUUUACUGGGUGUAAAGGGCGUGUAGGCGGUCCCUCAAGUCCGAUGCUAAAGACCGAGGCUCAACCUCGGGAGUGCGUUGGAUACUGUGAGGCUAGACGGUCGGAGAGGGCAGCGGAAUUCUCGGAGUAGCGGUGAAAUGCGCAGAUACCGAGAGGAACGCCAAUAGCGAAGGCAGCUGCCGGGACGAUUUGUGACGUUGAGGCGCGAAAGCGUGGGGAGCAAACCGG